RNAcentral lists this ribosomal RNA (587 nucleotides) under uncultured bacterium. Its description in RNAcentral is "bacterial SSU rRNA". It matches the Rfam family "Bacterial small subunit ribosomal RNA", at positions 338 to 916 of the family's 1533-position model. The record is from RNAcentral.
CCUACGGGAGGCAGCAGUGGGGAAUUUUGGACAAUGGGCGAAAGCCUGAUCCAGCAAUGCCGCGUGCAGGAAGAAGGCCUUCGGGUUGUAAACUGCUUUUGUACGGAACGAAACGGUCUGCUUUAAUACAGUGGGCUAAUGACGGUACCGUAAGAAUAAGCACCGGCUAACUACGUGCCAGCAGCCGCGGUAAUACGUAGGGUGCGAGCGUUAAUCGGAAUUACUGGGCGUAAAGCGUGCGCAGGCGGUUAUAUAAGACAGUUGUGAAAUCCCCGGGCUCAACCUGGGAAUUGCAUCUGUGACUGUAUAGCUAGAGUACGGUAGAGGGGGAUGGAAUUCCGCGUGUAGCAGUGAAAUGCGUAGAUAUGCGGAGGAACACCGAUGGCGAAGGCAAUCCCCUGGACCUGUACUGACGCUCAUGCACGAAAGCGUGGGGAGCAAACAGGAUUAGAUACCCCGGUAGUCCACGCCCUAAACGAUGUCAACUGGUUGUUGGGUGCAUUAGUACUCAGUAACGAAGCUAACGCGUGAAGUUGACCGCCUGGGGAGUACGGCCGCAAGUUGAAACUUNAAAUUGAAAUUGACGG